GGGCCGGAGCGGCGGCGCCUGGAUGCGGACCCGGCCGCGGGGAGACGGGCGCCAGCCCCGAAUCGACUCUCAGUCCCCGACGCGCCCCGCCCGACCCCUAAGAUGAAGAAGGUGUCCGCCAGAGGAAACAGCUCUACCACCCAGCCAGCCCCUUGUGUCCCUCCUCCCUUUGCCUGUCUCAGAGGGGCAUGAAACACUUAUUUUAAAAUUACAAGCCAAGGACAGUUUGAAGAAGAAAAGGAAUAUGUUGUCACUCUCCAAAUGCCCCUUCCCGGUGGGAGACAAAACUGGUCAAGAGCCAGAUGCCAGAGACCCUUUAGUUGGUCCACAGCCAGAGUCAAGGGGGUGGAUGUUCCAGUGCUCCUACCCCCCGCCCCACACUUCCUAAGCUUGGAUAUGAUGUUAAACAAAAGAAUUAGGAUACAGGUUUUUUCUUGCAAAAAGUCAUCGUUAAUUUUUCCAAGUGUGCAAUAUUGUCC
This 479-nucleotide long non-coding RNA is filed under the name Heterocephalus glaber (naked mole-rat). RNAcentral's name for it is "lncRNA (ENSHGLG00000047291.1)". Lineage: Eukaryota; Metazoa; Chordata; Mammalia; Rodentia; Bathyergidae. The record is from RNAcentral.